Molecule: ribosomal RNA, 627 nt
Filed under: Harmophorus sp. JP-2016
Lineage: Eukaryota; Metazoa; Arthropoda; Insecta; Coleoptera; Staphylinidae
Description: eukaryotic LSU rRNA
Rfam family: Eukaryotic large subunit ribosomal RNA
Source: RNAcentral
ACACAUCACCGAACGUCAUGGCGGGCGUANNNGAAAGCAAAAACGGCGCUUGCGUCGAUAACGUACGACGGGAGUAAUACGUAAGGACGACUCCCGGCAGUACGACGGUGUCGCGAAUUUCAAAUUUACUGGGAUUCAUUAAAGCGAACCAUCGUGAGAGCUUGAGCGCUGGUACCCGAAAGAUGGUGAACUAUGCGUGACGAGGAUGAAGUCAGGGGAAACCCUGAUGGAGGUCCGUCACGAUUCUGACGUGCAAAUCGAUCGGCAGAGUUGCGUAUAGGGGCGAAAGACCAAUCGAACCAUCUAGUAGCUGGUUCCCUUCGAAAUUUCUCCUAGGAUAGCUGACACUCGAAACUUUAAAUUAAAUUAACAGUCGUAUGCGGUAAAGCUAAUGAUUAGAGGUAUUGGGGUCGAAACGACUUCAACCUAUUCUCAAACUAUAAAUGUGUACGAAAUCGAGACUUUCACAACAGAAGUCCGAUGUAAGAUGAACGAGUGUUUAGUGGGCCAUUUUUGGUAAGCAGAACUGGCGAUGCGGGAUGAACCGAACGUAAAGUCAAAGUGNNUAAUUGACGCUCAUCAGAUACCAAUAAAGGUGUUGGUCGCUCAAGACAGCAGGGCGGGGCC